AAAACAGACUUGGCUGGCUGCCCCAGCAGUGGGAUCUAAGGAGGCUGGGUUCUUGGGGUAUGUCCACCAUGGCCUGGAUUCCUCUCCUCCCCUUCUUUACCCUCUUCACAGGUUCUCUGGCCUCCUAUGUGCUGAAGCAGCCUCCCUCCAUAUCUGAGACGCUGGGGAAGCCAGCCACCCUCACCUGUGAAGGGGAUCUACUUGAUAAAAAGUAUGCUUACUGGUACCAGCAGAAAUGGGGAGAGAGUCCCAUGCUCAUUAUUUACAAGGACAAGGAGCGCCCACAGGAGGUCUCAGACCGAUUCUCCGGCUCCAGCAGCAACAAAGUGGCUUCUUUAACCAUCUCUGGAGUCCAGGCUGAGGAUGAGGCUGAUUACUACUGUCUGUCCUUUGAUGAGAAUGACAAACCCACAAUGACUGAGAGAGCUGAGGAAGUGAGACAUAAACCCUUGUGAUCUUUAAUAUCUUCCUAAGGCAAUUCAGAUGGAAGUGAUUCCAUUUCCUGGUAUGGUGCUUGGUAGAUCGUCCGGGCUUCACAGGCAUACAAGAAUGAGAGCAACACCACGGCUCUGUAGACCUUCAGUUUGGUAAUCAACCUAAUAUCUCUCCUCUCCCACACUUGCCUUCAAAGACUCUUUUGGGUAGAACUCACACAUGGCAAGUGUGAGUUAGCUCUGGUAAUGCAUGUGUCAAUGCCAUUAUCAAGGCAGGCUUUCCUGGAAAGUAAGUAUACUGCCAAGGUAAGUAGCCCUAACCCCUGAGGCAAUCAGGAAAGAGUUCCUGGAGAAGAUAUGGAACCCACCAUUUUUCUAUUGAAAAAUGUACAAGAGUCUGUUUUCUUUGUUUCCCUAUCCAUUGAAAAAAAAGAAAAACUUUUUUUUUUUCUGAAGCAAUUGAGGUUCAGUGACUAACCCAGGAUCCCACACAGCUAGGAAGUGGUAAGUAACUGAGACCAGAUUUGAACUCAGGUCUUCCUGACUUCAGGGCUGGUGCUCUAGCCACUGGAUCACCAGCUGUCCGCCAAAAACAAAGUCUUAAAAAAUAAUAUGCCAGUUCUCACUUUUGGAAGCCAAGAUGGCAAAUAAGCAGUGAAUUGCUGUAACCCUUUCAUGUUCACCUCUGGAGAAGCAUAAAAUGACAUCCCAGAAAAGAUCCUGCAACAAGCAAGGAGACAGGGGAAACAAUCUUAAUCUAGGUAAGUUGGAGGCUAGGCAGAAGAGGUCCCUCUCACUUUAGUAAGGGUGGGUUUUUUAGCCCAAAACAGGAAGCUCCCAGAGAGCUGGCAGUAAGCCCCACUGCAGUAGAUAGAACUCAAUAGAAGAUUCAAAAGGUAGUUAAAAUCAUAUAAGAGAGGUAGAAGAAAAUUUGGGUAAAGAAAUGAGAGCGAUACAAAGGCAUUAUGAAAAAGAGUUAACAGCUUACAAAACUGCUUAAAACGCAGAAUUGGCCAAAUGAAAAAGAGCUACAAAAACCUACUGUAGAAAACAACUCCUUAAAGAGUAAAACUGAAAAAAUCAUAAAAUACCUUUUUUAAUCGCAAUUCAUGCAGAUCAGUCAUAAUUGAUUUCAAUAGGAUCAUCAUUAUUCUAAGAAAACAAGGAAGACAAAAGCAAAUUAAAAUAAAAACAAUACAUAUAUAUGACAUGAAGGAGUGUGAGAAGGAUUUUUAAAAGGAUUAAGUCUAUGAAAAGCAUCAAUUAUAGAAUAUGCCAAUUCUUCUGAAUCAAUUCCAGGCAAGAGAGAAUUUUCAACAUCAGAAGUGAUUACAUGGAAAUUAUUGGUAUCCAAGGGAACAUUGGUGUCAUGCCAAGCUCCUAAGAGUUGUGCAUGUAUCUUUUCUCAUAAUAUAUUCGGGUCAGGGGUAUUGCAUAUUAAAGGAAUAAUAGAAAUGAAUAGCAA
This is a non-coding RNA of Sarcophilus harrisii (Tasmanian devil), 1899 nucleotides long. The record is from the annotation of a RefSeq genome assembly. Lineage: Eukaryota; Metazoa; Chordata; Mammalia; Dasyuromorphia; Dasyuridae.